AUUGAACGCUGGCGGCAUACCUUACACAUGCAAGUCGAACGGUAACAGGUCUUUCGGGCUGCUGUCGAGUGGCGAACGGGUGAGUAAUACAUCGGAACGUGCCUAGUAGUGGGGGAUAACUACUCGAAAGAGUGGCUAAUACCGCAUGAGAUCUAUGGAUGAAAGCAGGGGACCUUUGGGCCUUGUGCUACUAGAUCGGCCGAUGGCGGAUUAGGUAGUUGGUGGGGUAAAAGCUUACCAAGCCUACGAUCCGUAACUGGUCUGAGAGGACGAUCAGCCACACUGGAACUGAGACACGGCCCAGACUCCUACGGGAGGCAGCAGUGGGGAAUAUUGGACAAUGGGCGAAAGCCUGAUCCAGCCAUGCCGCGUGUAGGAUGAAGGCCUUCGGGUUGUAAACUACUUUUGUACGGAAGGAAAAGUAGUAGGUUAAUACCCUGGGAUCAUGACGGUACCGUAAGAAUAAGCACCGGCUAACUACGUG
This 484-nucleotide ribosomal RNA is filed under the name uncultured bacterium. RNAcentral's name for it is "partial 16S ribosomal RNA". It matches the Rfam family "Bacterial small subunit ribosomal RNA", at positions 30 to 507 of the family's 1533-position model. The record is from RNAcentral.